This 461-nucleotide ribosomal RNA is filed under the name uncultured bacterium. RNAcentral describes it as "partial 16S ribosomal RNA". It matches the Rfam family "Bacterial small subunit ribosomal RNA", at positions 28 to 506 of the family's 1533-position model. The record is from RNAcentral.
GACGAACGCUGGCGGCGUGCUUAACACAUGCAAGUCGAGCGGAAAGGCCCUUCGGGGUACUCGAGCGGCGAACGGGUGAGUAACACGUGGGUAACCUGCCCCAGACUUUGGGAUAACCCUCGGAAACGGGGGCUAAUACCGGAUACGACACAGCUUCGCAUGGGGUCUGUGUGGAAAGUUUUUCGGUUUGGGAUGGGCUCGCGGCCUAUCAGCUUGUUGGUGGGGUGAUGGCCUACCAAGGCGACGACGGGUAGCCGGCCUGAGAGGGCGACCGGCCACACUGGGACUGAGACACGGCCCAGACUCCUACGGGAGGCAGCAGUGGGGAAUAUUGCACAAUGGGCGGAAGCCUGAUGCAGCGACGCCGCGUGAGGGAUGACGGCCUUCGGGUUGUAAACCUCUUUCAGCAGGGACGAAGCGUAAGUGACGGUACCUGCAGAAGAAGCGCCGGCCAACUACGU